GGCCGCCUGGCGAAAUGGCAUCGCGUCUGACUACGAUAUAUUGUGAUCAGGAGAUUGCAGGUUCGACCCCUGCGGUGGUCA
This 81-nucleotide transfer RNA is filed under the name Termitomyces sp. J132. It matches the Rfam family "tRNA". Rfam says of the family: Transfer RNA (tRNA) molecules are approximately 80 nucleotides in length. The record is from Rfam by way of RNAcentral. RNAcentral also lists the same sequence under 2 other names. Lineage: Eukaryota; Fungi; Basidiomycota; Agaricomycetes; Agaricales; Lyophyllaceae.